Molecule: unclassified non-coding RNA, 220 nt
Filed under: Rhypophila decipiens
Lineage: Eukaryota; Fungi; Ascomycota; Sordariomycetes; Sordariales; Naviculisporaceae
Also listed under: 1 other name
Description: Podospora decipiens partial internal transcribed spacer region
Rfam family: Eukaryotic small subunit ribosomal RNA (bases 1-46)
Source: RNAcentral
AAGUCGUAACAAGGUCUCCGUUGGUGAACCAGCGGAGGGAUCAUUAAAGAGUUGCAAAACUCCCUACAACCAUUGCGAACGUUACCGAACACGUCGUUGCCUCGGCGGGCCCCGCGCCCGCCGGGGGGACGCCCACACAGGCUCUUUGCAGUUACCGGCCUCUCUGAGUUUGAUUUUACCAAAUCAGUCAAAACUUUCAACAACGGAUCUCUUGGUUCUG